RNAcentral lists this ribosomal RNA (749 nucleotides) under uncultured Halomonas sp. RNAcentral describes it as "bacterial SSU rRNA". It matches the Rfam family "Bacterial small subunit ribosomal RNA", at positions 28 to 774 of the family's 1533-position model. Lineage: Bacteria; Pseudomonadati; Pseudomonadota; Gammaproteobacteria; Oceanospirillales; Halomonadaceae. The record is from RNAcentral.
AUUGAACGCUGGCGGCAGGCCUAACACAUGCAAGUCGAGCGGUAACAGAUCUAGCUUGCUAGAUGCUGACGAGCGGCGGACGGGUGAGUAAUGCAUAGGAAUCUGCCCGAUAGUGGGGGAUAACCUGGGGAAACCCAGGCUAAUACCGCAUACGUCCUACGGGAGAAAGGGGGCUUCGGCUCCCGCUAUUGGAUGAGCCUAUGUCGGAUUAGCUAGUUGGUGAGGUAAUGGCUCACCAAGGCAACGAUCCGUAGCUGGUCUGAGAGGAUGAUCAGCCACAUCGGGACUGAGACACGGCCCGAACUCCUACGGGAGGCAGCAGUGGGGAAUAUUGGACAAUGGGCGCAAGCCUGAUCCAGCCAUGCCGCGUGUGUGAAGAAGGCCUUCGGGUUGUAAAGCACUUUCAGCGAGGAAGAACGCCUAGGGGUUAAUACCCCCUAGGAAAGACAUCACUCGCAGAAGAAGCACCGGCUAACUCCGUGCCAGCAGCCGCGGUAAUACGGAGGGUGCGAGCGUUAAUCGGAAUUACUGGGCGUAAAGCGCGCGUAGGUGGCUUGAUAAGCCGGUUGUGAAAGCCCCGGGCUCAACCUGGGAACGGCAUCCGGAACUGUCAAGCUAGAGUGCAGGAGAGGAAGGUAGAAUUCCCGGUGUAGCGGUGAAAUGCGUAGAGAUCGGGAGGAAUACCAGUGGCGAAGGCGGCCUUCUGGACUGACACUGACACUGAGGUGCGAAAGCGUGGGUAGCAAACA